UGUUAUAAUGAUGAUUCCGAUAUCGCCCCAGUCUGAACAGAUGUGUUGAUCGAUUUUUCCUGAAAAU
Small nucleolar RNA from Trichoplusia ni (cabbage looper), 67 nucleotides. The record is from RefSeq and is a predicted model, not a curated record. NCBI's taxonomy places the organism in Eukaryota, Metazoa, Arthropoda, Insecta, Lepidoptera, Noctuidae.